GCCUGAGUGGCUCAGUCGGUUAAGCGUCUGACUUCGGCUCAGGUCAUGAUCUCACAGUUCGUGGGUUCGAGCCCCGCAUUGGGCU
RNAcentral lists this transfer RNA (85 nucleotides) under Felis catus (domestic cat). It matches the Rfam family "tRNA". Rfam says of the family: Transfer RNA (tRNA) molecules are approximately 80 nucleotides in length. Their secondary structure includes four short double-helical elements and three loops (D, anti-codon, and T loops). Further hydrogen bonds mediate the characteristic L-shaped molecular structure. tRNAs have two regions of fundamental functional importance: the anti-codon, which is responsible for specific mRNA codon recognition, and the 3' end, to which the tRNAs corresponding amino acid is attached (by aminoacyl-tRNA synthetases). tRNAs cope with the degeneracy of the genetic code in two manners: having more than one tRNA (with a specific anti-codon) for a particular amino acid; and 'wobble' base-pairing, i.e. permitting non-standard base-pairing at the 3rd anti-codon position. Lineage: Eukaryota; Metazoa; Chordata; Mammalia; Carnivora; Felidae. The record is from Rfam by way of RNAcentral.